Molecule: ribosomal RNA, 403 nt
Filed under: uncultured bacterium
Lineage: Bacteria
Description: partial 16S ribosomal RNA
Rfam family: Bacterial small subunit ribosomal RNA
Source: RNAcentral
AUUGAACGCUGUCGGCAGGCCUAACACAUGCAAGUCGAACGAGCAACGGACGGGUGAGUAAUGUAUGGGAACUGCGCGAUAGAUGGGGAUAACUACUGGAAACGGAUGCUAAUACCGCAUACUAUCGGAUAACCCAUAUGGGAUUAGAUAGUAGGUGUGGUAAUGGCUCACCUAGGCUACGAUCCCUAGCGGGUCUGAGAGGAUGAUCAGCCACAGUGGUACUGAGACAAGGCCCCGACUCCUACGGAGGCAGCAGUGGGGAAUAUUGCACAAUGGGCGCAAGCCUGAUGCAGCCAUGCCGCGUGUAGUAAGAAGGUCCUCGGGUUGUAAAGUUCUUUCAGUCGGGAGGCGUUACCGACAGAAGAAGCACCGGCUAACACCGUGCCAGCAGCCGCGGUAAUAC